GCAAGCAAUUAUACCACAAAUAGCACAAUUACUCUCUAUUACUUGAGAAAUUUCAAAUGGCUAAAUCUCAAAUUUUUUCUCUGCUUCUUUUCUGCGUCCUCCUCCUUGCAUCAAAUGGUCAGUAAAAAUUCAUACAGCAGAUAUUAAUUUGCUUGAGAUUAAAGUGUACCUAGUUAUUGUAAUUUGUUGCUUUAUAAAUUAUAUCAAAUAUACCGCGACAAAAUAUAUAAUCCUGUCUUCUUAGCAACAAAAAAGACCUAAUUGAGACAUAUGUAGAAUGAUUACUAAUAUAACUUAAUUAUUACUCUUAAUGAUGGAGCGGCACAUUUCAAGGGUCUUGCUUAGGUAGGGAGGAGGAGUGUGAAGAUAAGUGCAUCAACUUGGAACAUUCUCUUCGUGGAGAAUGUAAUUAUGAUGAUUAUUAUUUGGGUUGCUUUUGCUUCUGCUAUGUUUGUUGAAUAAAGUAAUUGUAUGUAUACUUUGGAAACAGCCUCUCUGCCCUUUCGGAUAGGGGUAAGGCUCAUCUACAUAUUACUUUCCCCAGACCCCACCUGGUGGGACUAUACUGGGUAGUUGUUGUUGUUAUGUAUACUUAUUCGGAAAAAAAAUAAGAAAUGUUAUUUUGUUGAGUUUCGACUUCUUGGUUGAAUUCAUGUGUUGGAAUGACAGUACUUUUAUUUUGCUAGUAUUUCGUUCACGCCCAAUUAAUGUGAAAUUUUUUCGUUUUUCAUGAGUCAAUUUGAAUAACGGAUAAAAAUAUAUGUUGUUUGAAUCUCAAAAGCGAAUAUUGGUAUGUUGGUAGCUGAGUAACUUAGUUCAAGAUUUCGUAAACAUGGUAACUUUUGAAGCAAGAGGAAGUAGCGAAUAGUAUUCUCUCAUCUUAUUCACAAAUACAAGUCUUUUUGUCGCUUAUUAUGCUUUAUACUCUGGUAAUCAAACACAAAAAACUGAUUUAUGUUAUAAAUAGAAUUCUAUUUAUGGGGAAUGAAAGAUUUUAGGAUUUAUUACUUGGUGGCUGAGUCAUCAUCUCCUUAUAAAUAGAGGGUACUAUUCCAUUGUAAUUCAUCCCAAAAUCAAUAAGAAUUCUCUCUCUUUACUUUUCUCUGUAAUACUCUUAUUCUUGUUUUAUUAUUUUAUAACACGUUAUCAGCAUAAGACUCUAACCAAUUGAGUAAAAAUUUUGAGAUUGAGCAUAAUGAUUGUCUAUUGUUCUAUGAACUUCCUUCAUGAUUAAAUUCUAGAUUUAAGGAAAGUAUUUUACUUGUCUCUUUCAAAUUCAUGACAUUUUAUAAUUUGAUUUUAAAUACAAGUAAAGACGAUAAAUUUUGAUUGCAACUCUAAUGGAGUUUGAAAGAAAUUAUAACCACCCAAAGUGGUAAAAUUUCUACGCCUUGCCAUGAUCAAAUUCAUGUAUGAUUGUGGGCAAAGAAUUGAAAACCCGUCCAGUUGAAUUUGCUACAUUCUCAUUCCCUUUAGAGAAUGUGGUAGCACUAUGUGAUAAAUCUGAAAUAGACAAAAUUACUAAUAUGAAUGUAUCAAUGGAUAUGGACGUGAUAAUAGACGAAAUUAUAAUCGUCAUUAUUAUGUAUUGAGAAUAAUAAGGAUUCUCAAAAUAAUCCUUCACUCUGUGAAAGUAAUAUUUGUCAUCGAUUUGAUAUGAGAUUUAUAAAGCACAUAUAGAUGAUUAUGGUCCAUUCAUGAUGUGAAUGUGACAGCAUCUAAUUUAUGAAUACAUAUUCAUUUUUGGAAGAAUAUGAAUGUGCUAUUGGUAGUGAAUAUAUCACACUCACCUCUAGAUGGAGGUUUGAGAUGAAAUAAGAAAAUAAUGUCAUUAUUAUGGCAUGAAUGAUCACUGGUCACGUACUUAUUGUACGCUAAAAUAUUACGGCAAUGUGAUUAUUAAAAGACAAUGGUAAUGCAAGAAACAGAUCUUGCAUAUAAUUUGACCAUGACUACAAUGGUAUAAAUUUUUCUUUAAAAGAGAUAUUAAUCACAUGGAUGUUGAUGAAUCUGUGGUAGUACAAAUUAAUUGAAGAGCUCUGGAAGAGACAAUUAUUACUAUUUUGGAGGAAUACAAUUGAUUAUGAUGUUAAUUUAUUGUGUUGUAGUAAAUCUCAAAGAAACUCAUUUAGUUUCCAAAGUACACGCGAAAGCAGUUGAUUAUAUUGAGAUUUUAAAUGAAGGAAAGAUUUAAUAUCUUCUAUUAUUACAACUUGUAGCGGAAUAAUAUGUAUGUGAAAAGCUACCUGCUUUAUUCUCCAGUUUAUACUACACAAAUAAAAGAACACCAUACUGAAGUGAAUGUUUAUUGAUAUAAAACCCAUAUCAUAAUAAACCUGGAGUUUAUUGAUAAUUGCACAUGUCAUGAUGUAAACCUGAACUUAUCAAUAUUAAUAAUUUAUUCAGUUGGCAUAAUCAGUUUAACCAUAUCAAUUUAAGCAUGGUGUGAAAAACUAAUAGAGAAUUCACAUGGGUAAAUAUUAAGGAACUAGAAAGCUCAUUACAAGUUCUCUUAUAUUGCUUAUGCUUAUUAAUUAAUUGACCAACUAAAAUUGAGAAUGAAUCCCCAGAAUUCUUGAAAUAUCAAAGAUGAAUAUGGGCUCAUUACCUGCCAUGUAUACCACAUAAGAUGCAUCUAUGAGAUGGUUAAAUGUGCAAUUAUUAUUAACUCGCAACAUUGUAUUUUGCGAGGUAACUUUCUCAAUAGUUUAAUUUCGAGCAUAAUUUUCAGAUUUUCUAUUCAAGAAGUUCAUCUUGAUAAGUUGGUUUACAUCAUAGCUGGUUUAGCAAAAUAGUUUAUUGAGUGCCUCCACUUAAUAGCUAAAUAAUUUUUUAUGAGAACAAAGUUAUAUAUAUCAAUUUGAUAUACGUUAUAUAUCAAAGUAUAUUAUUUUCUCCCCUCGCAAGUGGUUCAGGGUCAGGAACCAAAUAAUUUCAUCUUGUUAUUAUUGAUGCGCGGUAUAUAUUUUGAUUAACACCAUAAUGCACAAAGAUGAGUUCUCAAAGUUAAGGAAAUAGGUUAGUUUUUUUAUCAUGAGGGAGAGACAUGAUAAACAGUUGGGAAAAAGUUACGUGGAAUGAAUUAUCGUUUGUAAAACUAGAUUCUCGAAUAAAAUAAUAUGAACUUGAAGUUCAUAAAAGGAUAAUUCAUUUGCAAUAUAUAGCAAAGCAUUCCAGGCGCAUUUGUUGACCCAAAGAAAGUGACUAUACUCUCAUUGCAAAUGCUGAUAUUAAGUCCUAGAAGGACAAAGUCUAUGGUACGCUUAAAGCAUAUAGACAAAUCAGUUUCAAAUAAACUUCUUGAUAAGGAAGAUGAAUAAAUGAUCAUAAUAAAGGAGGUAAAUGAUCUAGAAGAUCACAUGACAUAAGACUUUAUAAAAUCUCAUGAGAGAUUCAGGUAUCUGAAUAUAUGAAUGAAGAGAUCUCUAUGUUAUGUCUUUAUGAAAAACGUUGGAACCGAUAUAAAAUGUUCGUCGAUGACAUUCAUCAUAGCUCUAAGUACAUAUGGGGAUCUUAAGGCUGUCGAGACAAAUACACAAAUAUUGGCCAAACUGACGAUACACAAUGUGAGAACAUGAUUUUUGUCCUACAUGAAUUACUCCAUUAGUUUCAAAACAAAAUAAAUUUCUUUUCAUUAUUUUCAAUUUUGUAAAAUUUCGUGGCAUCUGUUUGUUAAUUGUUGAAUUUGUUUGCGCAUAUUAUUUAUUUUUGGAAAAUACAAAAUAUAUGUUGCAUAUGCAUUUAAGACCUAAUUUUGUACUUUUUAGGAAUUAAUUAAUAAAUUAGUUAAAAAUUGGAAAAAUCGCAAAAAUGAUUAUGUGUGCAUUUCUAAUUUUAAUUUUUGAAUUUUGGUAGUUUUCCUUUAAAUUUGGUUUCAAUUAUUUGUGAUAAUUAUUAUUAGGAUUAAGGAGCAUUUUUGAUAGGCUAAUUUGGUUUAUAUCUUAAUUUGGGGUCUUAGUUUUAAUUUUGCAAAAAAAAAAAAGAAGAAAAGGAAAAGAACUAAUUUUGAAAAGGAAAGGAUUUUGAAAAUAAAAAGAGAUCAAAUUUGUAUAUUUGGGCAAAAACAAUUAAAAUUUCCAAGCAAAAACCCCUAAAUCCGUCCAAUUCGCCUUUACCCGACCCAUACCCUCUCCUGUAACCCGGUCCAGCCCUUUCAACACCGAAACGAUGUCGUUUUUUCAUUUCCAAUCCCGAGCUUUCAUUUAAUCUCAUCCAACGGCUGGGAAAGCCUCUCAAAAUUAGCUAAAAUUGUUCAAAUGUCUCAGAGACAACAUCGGACCCUUCGUCUCCUUCCCUACCGUUCACCAUCACCAGGCGCUGCAGGAAAUCGCCCUACGGCGGCGGCAAGCCUCUAAACCACCCCAAAUGUUUACCACAACUUCCUCUCCACCUUUACAUCAUCAAUCCAUAACCAGCUUUCCCUGAAAUCUAUCCAAAUAUCUCGAAUUUUAGUUUGAAAUCAUAGCCCUAGCGCCGCCACAAUUCCUCCAGUGGCAGCGCCACUUCUGUUUAACCCCAAACUAACACCAAAUACUCUCCCAAACUCCCUCUUUCCAAAUCCCUAAUGAUCUUACCUCGAAUCCUACCUGAAGCCCUCGAAUUUCAAAUCUAAAAUCAGGACACUCCAUGCAAGGUCCUCUCUACAAAUCACCCGCUCGUUCCCAACCUGGUUUGUAUCGAAAUGGUGUUCCUCGUCUGAUUCUCAACGGAGAACAAACAAUCCACGUCGAUUUGAGACCAAAUCAGAGUUGCCUGUGAUUUUUAGGCUCAAUUGGUAAGUUUUUCUUGCUUCACUGUUAUCCACUGAUUUGCUUCGUCUCUCUCUAACUCUCCGGCCCAUUACCCUUCACCUCGUUUGAUUUAGGUAUGUGAACAACUCUCCUCACAACUUCUGUGUUAGUUUUAGAUCUUCAGUCAUUUUGCAUUGAGUUGUCUUGGUUCCUUUUCUUUUCUUUUUCUCUCUUGUUAGUUGAAUUUGGUGAGUUUCUUGAUCCAAUGUGUUUUAUUAUGAUUAGCGAGCUUAAAUCAUUAACAGAUUAAUUGCUUAGACAAAUAAAGUCAGGCUAUAGAUAAUUCGUUAUCAGUAUAGGCUAAGUCUCUAAUUUCACCUCUUGUUGCUGUUAAAAUAUGUUCUGGGAUAUCGUUUUCUUGGGAAGCUUUGUUUAGCUUCAAUCUAGGCCCACAAAUGUGGCAACAAGCCCAAUAGAGGCCCAAUUUGGGGGAUUUAUAUCCCAAUUAGCUCAGCUGACCCAUUUUGGUAGGCUUCAUAGGUAAAAACAUGUUGGUUAAGGAGGUAAACUAGGCAAUGUACUUAGGGAAUCUUGCAGUAACCACUUUAGAAACCCCUAGAAGCUUCUAGCAGGGGUAUAUUGUUAAAUUUUCAUUCUAUGCCUUAGUUAACAAGUCAUAAAAUCAGGGACUAUAGGACAAAAAUAAAAUUUGAAGGUUACCCUAAUGUUUAGCUUAUAAAAAGGCAGGUAAACACUUAAGCUAAGGGGUUCUUUUGGGGGGGGGGGGGGGAAAAAAAAAAAAGGGAAAAAAUAAAAAAAAAANNNNNNNNNNNNNNNNNNNNNNNNNNNNNNNNNNNNNNNNNNNNNNNNNNNNNNNNNNNNNNNNNNNNNNNNNNNNNNNNNNNNNNNNNNNNNNNNNNNNNNNNNNNNNNNNNNNNNNNNNNNNNNNNNNNNNNNNNNNNNNNNNNNNNNNNNNNNNNNNNNNNNNNNNNNNNNNNNNNNNNNNNNNNNNNNNNNNNNNNNNNNNNNNNNNNNNNNNNNNNNNNNNNNNNNNNNNNNNNNNNNNNNNNNNNNNNNNNNNNNNNNNNNNNNNNNNNNNNNNNNNNNNNNNNNNNNNNNNNNNNNNNNNNNNNNNNNNNNNNNNNGGGUUUUUUUGGGGGGGGGGGGGUGAACAAAAAAGAAGGGCUAAAAUCAGAAAAAAAAGCAAACGGUUGAAAGUUUAGGAAAAUAUUAGUUCAAACAAAAUGUUGAGUCCCUUUUGAGUGAAAAUAGUUUGAUUGUGUGUUGGAGAUGCUUUGGUUCAGUUUUCAGUGUUCUGUUGAAAUUCUUUUUGGAUUUCUGAAAUUUUGCCAAGUUCUGAAGCUUUUUCUGGUUCACUUGAGGUUGAAAAUGAGUUGAUUUGGGUUUAGAAACUAGUUAAAGUUGGGUUCUAGGGUUUGCUGUGUGCCAACCUGUGUUGAGUUUGUUAUUUGUUGCUGAUUAUUACUCCAAUCUACUACUAUGCUACUAAGCUGCUGCUAACUGACCCUGCUUGGCUUUGGUUCCAUCUCAUUUCAGGUACGGACUAUAAAUCUAUUGAUUGUUAAGUGUUGAAUUUGAAGAAUAAAAGAUGAGAAAGAAGGAUUUGACAGUCCCACCUCAACUGUUCUUUAUUUCAUUCUGUUUCAUUUUUUAUUUCUAUUUAAUCAUGUUAUAUUGUUUAGAUAAUCUGUAUGUUAAGUAGAUAGUUUCACUUAUAAUUGAAUCAAAGUUGUUGUAAGGCUGAAUAAACACUGUUGUAUCCAUACAUGUGAAAAUAGUCUGAUAAUUGUAAUUGGUCUUGUUGAAAUUAGUAUUGAGUCAUUCUGUGGUUUGGUAAUGGUUUAGUCGUAUUCAAUUUCUCAUGUGUUCACCUAUUAGUUUAGCUGAAUGCGUUAUUGGGUUUUUGAGCAUUAUAGUUGUGGUUAAAAGGAAAAAGGGUUCACAGUAUUGAUACAUACUGUAUAUUUCUCAAAUCAUUGUUGGAUUUCAAUCAAUUUCCUCAUGUGUUCCAUAGUUAGUCGUUAAGUGUAGUAAUUCACUAUCAUUGUUGUGUUUCAUUUUGUUCUUGGGUACGAAUUUGUUUAAGUGUAAUGUUUCUGGGAUGUUGGGAUUUUGACAUGAAUCAUCUGAUUGAGCAAUGACCUUAAGGGUCAAGUAAUGUAUAGAAGAAUUAUGUUGUAGUCAUGAGCAU
RNAcentral lists this long non-coding RNA (6942 nucleotides) under Nicotiana benthamiana. RNAcentral describes it as "long non-coding RNA (NBEN_LNC023011)". Lineage: Eukaryota; Viridiplantae; Streptophyta; Magnoliopsida; Solanales; Solanaceae. The record is from RNAcentral.